RNAcentral lists this long non-coding RNA (1008 nucleotides) under Sorghum bicolor (sorghum). RNAcentral describes it as "long non-coding RNA (SBIC_LNC009716)". Lineage: Eukaryota; Viridiplantae; Streptophyta; Magnoliopsida; Poales; Poaceae. The record is from RNAcentral.
CUGCGUGGCUUGGGGCUCGCACGGCGUUGUCGUGGUCUCCAUGGCGGCGACGCGGGCUCCACACGACAACCUUCCUCCCUCAACCUCCACCACGGUGGCGUGUGCAGGUUCGCUAGAUGCAGAGCGGACCCAACUCGACGCGCUCUCUGACGGCCAUGCCCAAAUCCAGCAAGGAGGAGGGACGCACAGAUCUAGCAGAUGCGACGGUAGUGGACUUGAUUGGGCCUGACAAUAGGCUCGAUUGGGCUCGCUAGUUUUUUUUAAUUUUUUUUAUAUUGAUUAACGGAGGCGGGUAUAAGUAACCGCCUCCAAUAGGUCUAGAUUAACCAUGACCUUUGAUUGGAGGCGGUUGCACAAGCCCGCCUCCAUAAACCAAAAAUGAUCACCCCCAAAAAGAAUUAUGUAGUAGUGGGAAGCCGCGUAUGAAUUGUGCGUUGUACGCUGAUCUUGUCGAAUAUUGGCAUGAAGGUUCUAGAUGCCAUGAGAUGGUGUCCUCAUGCUCAUGUCAAGAUAAAUGAACCCCGGUUCGAACGAAAUUUACCAAAAUUUCAAAGAUCCAUCCAUUUCGACCGGGUCCAAAUUAUUUUGACAUUCGUACCCUAGACAUGAAAGACGAGCAGAUAGCUCGCUCUAUGAAAUGAAUUUAUGCUGCAUUGCCUGGUUAACCGCCAGCAUUAUAUUAAUUAGCUCUGGGACGGGCGGUCUUAAUUUAUUAGCAUGGAAAUGUGGUUGAGUUCGAUCUGGGCGAGGGUUCACGAUUGUACAUUCCCUCCCCCACAUGACGCCAAUCAUUCAUCCCUCCAUUCAUUCCAGCGUGAUUGCUAAAAUCCAAAAUUUUCUACUCCAGUGGGCAAGUAUAUAUUAUUUUUUAAAACAAAUCUAGUAAAAGAGUUGUCCAUUGUAAAAAAGAAAGAAAGAAAGAAACCGUGGGCUGCCCAUUUGUCAUAAGGGAAUGAAUGGUGGCGAAUCUAAAAGAGUAAAGAUGAUGACAAAAGUCAUACACUACUG